Long non-coding RNA from Mytilus trossulus (common blue mussel), 393 nucleotides. RefSeq lists it as uncharacterized. The transcript has 3 exons. Lineage: Eukaryota; Metazoa; Mollusca; Bivalvia; Mytilida; Mytilidae. The record is from RefSeq and is a predicted model, not a curated record.
AACAUACGAUUUGGGUAAAAACCUAGUCAAAGAUAUAUCAAGAUCCGUGUCCAGUCAAUGUGAUCCUUGUACAGUCAAGUUGUUAUUAUAGUCAAUGUGAUCCUUGUACAGUCAAGUUGUUAUUAUAGUCAAUGUGAUCCUUGUACAGUCAAGUUACUAUCAUAGUUAUUUUUCACAGAUGCUUUAGAUGACGACACAACGUUACUUACAAAUUAGGCUGACCUCAGAGAUACAUUCAUCAGUAUUUAUUUAUUAGUAUGUAUUGUAUAAUAUAUGUUUUUUUAAGAGAACAAAACAAAUCAAUCCAUAAAGACUGCCUCGAUGAUCUUCACGGUGUUAUGGUAUUGUGUUAACUUUUAGUGUGGGAGGUGGUGGGUUUGAACCCUGGACAGU